GUCCACGCCCUAAACGAUGUCAACUAGUUGUUCGGAGAGGUAACUUUCUGAGUAACGCAGCUAACGCGUGAAGUUGACCGCCUGGGGAGUACGGCCGCAAGGUUAAACUCAAAGGAAUUGACGGGACCCGCACAAGCGGUGGAUGAUGUGGAUUAAUUCGAUGCAACGCGAAAACCUUACCUACCCUUGACAUGCCUGGAAUCCUUGAGAGAUCAGGGAGUGCCUUCGGGAGCCAGGACACAGGUGCUGCAUGGCUGUCGU
This 261-nucleotide ribosomal RNA is filed under the name uncultured bacterium. RNAcentral describes it as "partial 16S ribosomal RNA". It matches the Rfam family "Bacterial small subunit ribosomal RNA", at positions 793 to 1055 of the family's 1533-position model. The record is from RNAcentral.